RNAcentral lists this microRNA precursor (56 nucleotides) under Ascaris suum (pig roundworm). Lineage: Eukaryota; Metazoa; Nematoda; Chromadorea; Rhabditida; Ascarididae. The record is from RNAcentral.
CUGGGCAUGGCUCUAUGUCAUGCUAUCUAGUUUCAUGACUAGAUCCAUACUCAGCU